CCUACGGGGUGCAGCAGUGAGGAAUAUUGGUCAAUGGGCGCGAGCCUGAACCAGCAAAGUAGCGUGAAGGAUGAAUGCCCUACGGGUUGUAAACUUCUUUUAUAAAGGAAUAAAGUGAGGCACGUGUGCCUUUUUGUAUGUACUUUAUGAAUAAGGAUCGGCUAACUCCGUGCCAGCAGCCGCGGUAAUACGGAGGAUCCGAGCGUUAUCCGGAUUUAUUGGGUUUAAAGGGAGCGUAGAUGGCGUGUUAAGUCAGUUGUGAAAUUUUGCGGCUUAACCGUAAAAUUGGAAUUGAUACUGGCAGGCUUGAGUACAGUUGAGGUAGGCGGAAUUCGUGGUGUAGCGGUGAAAUGCUUAGAUAUAACGAAGAACUCCGAUUGCGAAGGCAGCUUACUAAACUGCCACUGACAUUGAUGCUCGAAAGCGUGGGGAGCAAACAGGAUUAGAUACCCGAGUAGUC
RNAcentral lists this ribosomal RNA (460 nucleotides) under uncultured bacterium. RNAcentral's name for it is "partial 16S ribosomal RNA". It matches the Rfam family "Bacterial small subunit ribosomal RNA", at positions 338 to 795 of the family's 1533-position model. The record is from RNAcentral.